AACUCUGGUGGCCUCUGACUAUGGUGCGAUACCUUUACCGCGGUCGCUCGCCGGCUCGCUCGGUCCCGGCUCUGUGGAAAUAGUGGGGUGAGAACUACAACAAAGUUCCCAGUGGGUUCGGCCCCAACAUCACCGACUUUUCCACUAGGACUAACUCAGGCAUAAUAGAAAGGAUAAGCUGAAUAUAGUAACCAAUCUACAACAUGAUGCUAAUAUGCC
This 219-nucleotide long non-coding RNA is filed under the name Ananas comosus (pineapple). RNAcentral's name for it is "long non-coding RNA (ACOM_LNC041216)". The record is from RNAcentral. Lineage: Eukaryota; Viridiplantae; Streptophyta; Magnoliopsida; Poales; Bromeliaceae.